CGGGGUGAGUAACGCGUGGGUAACCUACCCUGUACACACGGAUAACAUACCGAAAGGUAUGCUAAUACAGGAUAAUAUAUUUGAGAGGCAUCUCUUGAAUAUCAAAGGUGAGCCAGUACAGGAUGGACCCGCGUCUGAUUAGCUAGUUGGUAAGGUAACGGCUUACCAAGGCGACGAUCAGUAGCCGACCUGAGAGGGUGAUCGGCCACAUUGGAACUGAGACAUGGUCCAA
Molecule: ribosomal RNA, 232 nt
Filed under: uncultured bacterium
Lineage: Bacteria
Description: partial 16S ribosomal RNA
Rfam family: Bacterial small subunit ribosomal RNA
Source: RNAcentral